RNAcentral lists this ribosomal RNA (229 nucleotides) under uncultured bacterium. Its description in RNAcentral is "partial 16S ribosomal RNA". It matches the Rfam family "Bacterial small subunit ribosomal RNA", at positions 568 to 796 of the family's 1533-position model. The record is from RNAcentral.
UACGUAGGCGGAAAAUUAAGUCAGUAGUGAAAUCCUGCAGCUUAACUGUAGAACUGUUAUUGAUACUGGUUUUCUUGAAUAUAGUUGAGCUAGGCGGAAUGUGUAAUGUAGCGGUGAAAUGCUUAGAUAUUACACAGAACACCGAUUGCGAAGGCAGCUUACUAAGCUAUGAUUGACGCUGAGGUACGAAAGCGUGGGGAGCGAACAGGAUUAGAUACCCUGGUAGUCC